Molecule: unclassified non-coding RNA, 23 nt
Filed under: Mus musculus (house mouse)
Lineage: Eukaryota; Metazoa; Chordata; Mammalia; Rodentia; Muridae
Description: oocyte_clustered_small_RNA12150
Source: RNAcentral
UUUUUCCUUGGGGAAGGGAACUA